RNAcentral lists this small RNA (2175 nucleotides) under Ooceraea biroi (clonal raider ant). RNAcentral describes it as "aTP-binding cassette sub-family G member 4". The record is from RNAcentral. Lineage: Eukaryota; Metazoa; Arthropoda; Insecta; Hymenoptera; Formicidae.
AAUUGGUCUUAUUAUUGUUGUAUUCAAUGUUAUCUUAUCGUUAGAUGACCACGUUUAACGUACUUAAACGUAUAAUCCUAAGAUAGCAUAUAACACAUGUAUUUAUGACAGUGGUGAAUUUUCUGUUGCAGCCUUCUGCCACAUCGACGCAAUUUGUAUAUAAUCAUCACUUAGGUGUGCACGGGGAGGACAAACAAUGGAAGUAUUAAAGCUUGAAGUUAAGAAGUACGGAAGUAAUGAAACGAUCAAUCGACAAGAGGUCGAUGCACCAGCAAUGUGUAAUUGGAUUGACUUGGACCGAUCUUCGCCGGAGGAUGUCGACCAGGAUGCGACCAGCAUCACACGCGACAACGGCAAACAAUCGAUCAACAUAAUCUUCGAGCACAUCACAUAUACUGUGAACCUCGGCUUCAGGAAAGGAAAAAAAGAGAUUUUACACGGAAUUAAUGGAAGGUUCCCAGCAAACAGUUGAUCGCUCUGAUGGGUCCAUCUGGUGCAGGGAAGUCCACGUUAUUCGAUGUACUCUCUGGCUUCCGCGUAACCGGAGUGGAUGGUACUAUAUUUGUCAACGGUCAUGUCCGGGAUCUCAACUCUUUCCGGAAGUACACUGCCUACAUUACACAGGAGGAUCGGUUGGAACCUUUACUCACUGUACUCGAAUAUAUGAAGAUCGCCGCCGAUUUAAAGCUGCCGGCGGAUACCUUACAAAAUAAAAAAGAAGCGACUAUUAAAGAAAUUCUCACGGCACUUGGUUUGUACGAGCACUUGCAUACGAGAGCCGGCCAAUUAAGUGGCGGUCAAAAAAGGCGACUGUCCAUCGCAUUAGAAUUGGUUAAUAAUCCCACGAUGAUGUUUCUUGAUGAGCCCACAACAGGUCUGGAUAGCUCAUCUUGCACGAAAAUUGUAAAUCUCCUAAAGCGGCUCGCACAAGAGGGUAAAACAAUAAUUUGUACUAUACAUCAGCCUAGUGCGUCCCUAUUCGAAUUGUUCGACCAGGUAUACGUGUUGGCAAAAGGCAGUUGCUUGUACCAAGGUGCAACGAACAAAUUAGUGCCAUAUCUUGAAGAUAUGCAAAUGCCAUGCCCGAUGUAUCACAAUCCUGCCGAUUACAUAAUCGAGCUUGCCUGUGGAGACCACGGUGAGGAUAAAAUAGAUAUACUAAAAACUGGAUCGCAAAAUGGAUCGAAAAAUUUUCAAUCGUUCGAUAAUCCUGAAGCUCCGAGAGAUGAUGAAAGUUUAACAGAGCUGUAUUCCUUGAAAAACUCACAUAUGAAAAAGAAUGGUGACUUACACGCAACGAAUUUUCUUCAUCAAAUCAAAGUUUUACUUCGACGUGGAUUCAUCAUGUCCAAACGAAACACGACUCUUACGCAUAUGCGCAUCGGAGUAAACAUACUUGUCGGUUUGAUGCUUGGAUCGGUCUUCUGGCAAUCGGGCGCUGAUGGCUCACGCGUUCUAGAUAACUACAAACUUCUCUUUUCUAUCCUCAUACAUCACAUGAUGACGACGAUGAUGCUUACCAUAGUAACCUUUCCAAUGCAGAUAGCUAUUCUUCUAAAGGAGCAUUUUAAUAGAUGGUACAGCUUGAAGGCAUUCUACAUGGCAAUGACACUGAUUGACAUGCCAAUCUCGAUACUAUGCUGCACCUUAUUUAGUGUAAUUGUCUAUGGCAUGUCGGCGCAACCGUUGGAAAUAAUACGAUUCUCCAUGUUCUUCAUCAUUAGCUUGUUGAUAAUGUUCAUAGGACAAAGUACCGGCCUUAUGAUAGGCGCUGUAUUCAACGUUGUGAAUGGUACAUUUAUUGGACCAACAUUGGCAGUAGCACUAAUGAUGUUCUCUGGAUUUGGAAUAUUGUUACGCGAUCUACCGUCUUAUCUAAAAUGGGGAAGCUACGUCAGUUAUCUACGAUAUGGUCUGGAAGGCUUUAUUGAUGCAAUCUACGGAUUGAACCGCCCUGUUCUACCGUGUGAAGAACUUUACUGCCAUUAUAGAUAUCCUACCAAAUUUCUCUCGGAUAUUGACAUGAAGGAAGGCCAAUUUUGGAACGACGUCAUGGCGCUCACUGCAAUACUCAUCAUCACGCGAUGCUGCACAUAUUUGCUUCUGCGGUGGAAGAUUGUAUGGACGCGAUAAAACUAAUACGAGCACAGUAUCGAAAAUACUGCCAGUUUAUUA